GAUGAACGCUGGCGACGUGCCUAAUACAUGCAAGUCGAGCGAACGGACGAGAAGCUUGCUUCUCUGAUGUUAGCGGCGGACGGGUGAGUAACACGUGGAUAACCUACCUAUAAGACUGGGAUAACUUCGGGAAACCGGAGCUAAUACCGGAUAAUAUUUUGAACCGCAUGGUUCAAAAGUGAAAGACGGUCUUGCUGUCACUUAUAGAUGGAUCCGCGCUGCAUUAGCUAGUUGGUAAGGUAACGGCUUACCAAGGCAACGAUGCAUAGCCGACCUAAGAGGGUGAUCGGCCACACUGGAACUGAGACACGGUCCAGACUCCUACGGGAGGCAGCAGUAGGGAAUCUUCCGCAAUGGGCGAAAGCCUGACGGAGCAACGCCGCGUGAGUGAUGAAGGUCUUCGGAUCGUAAAACUCUGUUAUUAGGGAAGAACAUAUGUGUAAGUAACUGUGCACAUCUUGACGGUACCUAAUCAGAAAGCCACGGCUAACUACGUG
This 497-nucleotide ribosomal RNA is filed under the name uncultured bacterium. RNAcentral describes it as "partial 16S ribosomal RNA". It matches the Rfam family "Bacterial small subunit ribosomal RNA", at positions 28 to 507 of the family's 1533-position model. The record is from RNAcentral.